Symphalangus syndactylus (siamang) is the source of this 1746-nucleotide long non-coding RNA. RefSeq lists it as uncharacterized. The record is from RefSeq and is a predicted model, not a curated record. Lineage: Eukaryota; Metazoa; Chordata; Mammalia; Primates; Hylobatidae.
UAUAUUCUGCUUUUUUGCUCUGUCCCAGGCUGGAGUACAGUGGCAUGAUCUCAGCUCACUGCAACCUCUGCCUCCCGGGGUUCAAGCGAUUCUCUUGCCUCAGCCUCCUGAGCAGCUGGGAUUACAGGCACGUGCCACUACGCCUGGCUAAUUUUUGUAUUUUUAGUAGAGUCAGGGUUUCACCAGGUUGGCCAGGCUGGUCUCGAACUCCUGACCUCAUGAUCUGCCCACCUCGGCCUCCCAAAGUGCUGGGUUACAGGAGUGAGCCAUUGCACCCGGCCCCCAUAUUCUGGUUUUUAAUGUGUCAAUAUAUUGUGGUUAUAAGGCCAUACCAUUACAUGCCUCUCAAUGCCUGUAUGUUAUUCUGUUGUCUUUACUAUUAUUUAUGUAGCAAAUCAAUCCUUUAUUGUUGGACAUUCAUGUUCUUUUUCAUUCUUUCUCUUACGUAUGAGGCUUCAAUGACCAUUUGCAUAUUUAAAUGUCCAUUUUUGUCUCCGGUUGUUUCUUCGGGGUAAUUCUUUUUUGUUUUUGUUUUGUUUUGUUUUGUUUUGUUUGUGACGAAGUCUUGCUCUGGCACCCAGAGUGCAGUGCAGUGGCAUGAUCUCGGCUCACUGCAACCUCUGCCUCCCAGGUUCAAGCGAUUCUCCUGCCUCAGCUUCCCGAGUAGCUGGGAUUACAGGCACCCACAACCACGUCCAGUUAAUUUUUGUAUUUUUGGUAGAGAUGGGGUUUCACCAUGCUGGCCAGGCUAUCUUGAACUGCUGACCUUGUGAUCUGCCCACCUCGGCCUCCCAAAGUGCUGAGAUUACAGGUGUGAGCCUGCACCUGGCUAUCUUCAGGAUGAUGAAGCUGAAACUCAGAGAAUUUGAAGCAGUUGCCUGAGAUUCCGCAGCCAGCCAGUGGCUCAGAGUGGAUUCCCGCCCCCGACUCUGGAUCCUAACGCUUUUCUCACCACCUCAUGGCACCUCCCUGGCAUUUGAACUUCCUGGUUGAAACUGAGGAUAAAGAGAGCAGGCGCGGCUCAUCAAGAUCCCCUUGUCAUUGGGUUGUGCUGCUCUGUCGUUCUCCUCACCAGCACCGCUAAUUGCACUCCAUUCCAAUGGCUCAUGGCCCUUCACACACACAAAGGCCCUGCUUCCCUGCCAGGGAAGACAGAGUAGGUUGCACAACUUGUCUGCAUUCACAGAGCAUGUCACCAACCAAGUAAGAAGGAGAACACACAAGUUUGGCCCUGGAAAACCCUUGGCUGACUCUGUUGAGAGGAAAGUGGGCCUCCAUGCUAACUGCAGACAGUGCAGAUAGAGGAACUGAGCUGUGAAAAUGGCUCUAAAAAGCCAACAGCAACUAUUAAUUAGACUUGACUGGGGUGGUCAGGGCUGCGGUUUGGAAUUGUCAGCUAUUUAUGCACAGGGGACUUUAGGUCACUCUGUGCUCUUAUCCCAUUUCCAAAACACACAUAACCAACGAAUGUUUCUCACAGUCUGGGUGGUCUCCCACAUGGGUCCUGCCCGGUCUGUUUUUCCAGUGGGACAAAACAUAGGCUCCUCCCUGGAAGAUUCCCGGAAGACCCCUCCUCCCGCCUUCACCUUUCAGUUCUGUAAGCUUCCUCAUCAGUGCUGUGUUUCUUUCCAGAGCUCUGACUCAAAUAACCCUCUGGUGUGACCUCAUCACAUUAUCACAACAGCCCUGUGAGGUUGGAAGAGGUGGGAGUAUUUCCUGAUAGAUUAAAGAUGGUCAUUCUCAGGC